RNAcentral lists this long non-coding RNA (268 nucleotides) under Gossypium barbadense (sea-island cotton). RNAcentral describes it as "long non-coding RNA (GBAR_LNC007807)". Lineage: Eukaryota; Viridiplantae; Streptophyta; Magnoliopsida; Malvales; Malvaceae. The record is from RNAcentral.
GUGAUUAACUUUAGAUUUAGGUUUUAAUAAAUUAGCUAAUAGUUAAAAUUAAUACCUUUCGAUCUAUAAUUAAAUUAAUUGAUCUGCUUAACUUACUUAUCUUUUGACCCGAUAGCUUAAAUCAUGAUAGAUUAAGUGAUGCUUAGUAGACUAUCUUUCGACUUCAUCUAUCUAAGUUACUUCUUAGGGUUGUCAGCUAUAGGGUUUAAUUUCACUUAACCUAUACCAACUUAUCUGGAGUAAACCCUAAUCCCUUAGCUAAUCACUC